This 253-nucleotide ribosomal RNA is filed under the name uncultured bacterium. Its description in RNAcentral is "partial 16S ribosomal RNA". It matches the Rfam family "Bacterial small subunit ribosomal RNA", at positions 524 to 776 of the family's 1533-position model. The record is from RNAcentral.
UACGGGGGGGGCAAGCGUUGUUCGGAAUUACUGGGCGUAAAGGGCUCGUAGGCGGCCAACUAAGUCAGACGUGAAAUCCCUCGGCUUAACCGGGGAACUGCGUCUGAUACUGGAUGGCUUGAGUUUGGGAGAGGGAUGCGGAAUUCCAGGUGUAGCGGUGAAAUGCGUAGAUAUCUGGAAGAACACCGGUGGCGAAGGCGGCCCACUGGAUCGGUACUGACGCUGAGGUGCGAAAGCGUGGGGAGCAAACAGG